Delphinapterus leucas (beluga whale) is the source of this 11677-nucleotide non-coding RNA. The record is from RefSeq and is a predicted model, not a curated record. NCBI's taxonomy places the organism in Eukaryota, Metazoa, Chordata, Mammalia, Artiodactyla, Monodontidae.
GCUGGGCUGGGAGGAGGCGGGCAGGCUGGUGGGCCGGGCGGUCUACGGGCGGUCGGGAGCGCGCGGUGGACUCGGCGGCGGCUAGUAGUUAGUUGUUGUUAGUCAGUGUCAGUUGCUCGGCGGUGGCGGCCGCGGUCACCAGGAAGGGUACUGGACGGCCGGCGAAGGUAGUCACCGCGGCGGCGUGUGAGCCCCUCAGGUAUCUGCCUAAACUGGAAGUUAUGCUGUAGAGAUUUCUUUGUGGAUUUGUCUGAAAACCUAAGCCAGAAGGUGGCCAUCUGCAAGCCAGAAAGGGAGCUCUCACCAGAACCUGACCGUGCUGGCACCCUAAUUGCAGACCUCCAGCCUCCAGAACUACCCUACUGCCCUAGGUUAAGAACUCUUGGAUUAAUCUAAUGGUGUUAGCAGAAGCCAUAUUGCUGUGGACUGGAGAGGGAAUUUGCGUGAGGGCAGAGACGAAAGGGAGGACACCAUAGGGAAAAGAAUAUUUGAGGUCCAUUCCUCAGGAAAGAAAAGGAAGCAAUGACAUAAUGCCUAGAGUUGGUGCCAGUUAAACUGGUAAACAUUGCUAUCUUCAGAAAAUAAGUUAAGGAAUGAGAGGCAAGGAAGAAAGGACGUUCAUCUUGGAAGGACCCAAAGCACUUUGAAAUUUAAAUGAAUGUAAUGAUAGCUGCUAAAACCGCCUUUGUCACCAAAAUGGAUGAAGUACUUCAAAUUUAAAUGAUUGAUCACACUUACAAGAGCUGCUAUGAAACAUAGGGGAGGUGAAAACUAACAGAUGAAAGUUUUGCCAUGCACUGAAAGGAAAGCAUUGUCUGUGAAGUUCUAUUUUUAAAAAUGUCUGCUUGUAAUACCUUUACUGAACACGUUUGGAAACCUGGUGAAUGCAAGAACUGCUUUAAACCUAAAAGCUUACAUCAGCUCCCCCCAGACCCUGAGAAGGCACCCAUCACCCAUGGCAAUAAAACUAAUGCCAAUCAGAGUAACAACCACAGAAUCAGGAACACCGGAAAUUUCAGGCCUCCUGUGGCUAAAAAACCCACUAUAGCUGUGAAGCCCACUAUGAUGGUGGCAGAUGGGCAAAGUAUGUGUGGUGAGCUUAGUAUCCAAGAACACUGUGAGAACAAACCUGUCAUCAUAGGAUGGAACCGAAAUAGGAUGGCCUUGAAUCAGAAACCACUUAAUAAUAAUAAUGAAGAUGACAUUGAAGGAUUUAGCCAUGUUCCUAAGCCUUAUGGGAAUAAUGAUAGUGCAAAGAAGAUAUCAAAUAACAAUAGUGGACUAACUGAGGUGUUAAAGGAGAUAGCAGGCUUGGAUACCACCCCUCAAAUAAGAGGAAAUGAAACAAACUCCAGAGAAACAUUCUUAGGAAGAAUAAAUGAUUGCUAUAAACGAUCACUGGAAAGAAAGCUUCCACCAAGUUGCAUGAUGGGCGGAAUAAAGGAUACUCAGGGCAAGCAUGUUAUUCUGAGUGGGAGCACAGAAGUGAUCAGUAAUGAAGGGGGUCGAUUCUGUUACCCAGAGUUUUCUAGUGGCGAAGAGAGUGAGGAAGAUGUGCUUUUGAGUAACAUGGAGGAGGAGCACGAGAGCUGGGAUGAGAGUGAUGAAGAACUGCUGGCCAUGGAGAUUCGCAUGAGAGGGCAACCUCGCUUUGCCAACUUUAGGGCAAACACUUUGUCUCCUGUUCGAUUCUUUGUGGACAAAAAAUGGAAUACUGUCCCCCUGCGAAAUAAAUCUCUGCAAAGAAUCUGUGCUGUAGACUAUGAUGACAGUUACGAUGAAAUCCUGAAUGGUUAUGAAGAGAAUUCUGUGGUCUCCUAUGGACCAGGAAGCAUUCAGAGCAUAGUGUCGUCUGACUCCACAUCCCCAGAUUCCUCUUUAACAGAAGAAUCACGUUCUGAGACAGCCAGUAGUUUAUCCCAGAAGAUUUGUAAUGUGGGAAUAGCUCCUGGUAACCCGGGAGAUUCUAAGGACAUGAAGGAAAGUGAGCCCAAUUAUGAAAGCCUCUCUGGUAAUAAUCAGGAGAAGGACUCAGCACAAGCAUCCAAAAGCUCAGUAAAAGUUCCAGAGACGCACAAAGCAGUCCUUGCUCUCCGAUUGGAAGAGAAGGAUGGCAAGAUUGCCGUACAAACUGAGAAGCAAGAAAGUAAAGCCCCUACUGAUAUUACUGGGCAAGCAGUAACAAUAAACCUCGUUCCUGUAGAAGAGCAAGCAAAGCCCUACCGAGUUGUGAAUCUGGAACAGCCUUUGUGCAAGCCAUAUACUGUCGUGGAUGUGUCAGCAGCCAUGGCCAGUGAGCACCUCGAGGGCCCUAUUAACAGUCCCAAGACGAAAAGCUCAUCUUCUACUCCAAACUCUCCAGUGACAUCACCCACACUGACAUCAGGACAAAUAAGUGCCCAUUUCCAAAAAUCCAGUGCAAUCCGCUACCAGGAAGUAUGGACUUCCAGUACCAGUCCACGACAAAAGAUACCUAAGGUGGAAUUAAUUAGCGGUGGGACUGGACCAAAUGUCCCUCCAAGGAAAAACUGUCACAAAUCAGCACCUACUUCACCCACAGCUACAAACAUUUCCUCCAAAACCAUCCCUGUUAAGUCACCUAAUUUGUCUGAAAUAAAAUUUAAUAGUUAUAACAAUGCCGGUAUGCCACCUUUUCCAAUUAUCAUUCACGAUGAGCCAACUUAUGCUCGGAGUUCCAAAAAUGCUAUCAAAGUUCCCAUUGUAAUCAAUCCAAAUGCAUAUGACAAUCUAGCCAUUUACAAAAGUUUUCUCGGAACAAGUGGAGAACUUUCAGUGAAGGAAAAAACCACAAGUGUAAUAAGCCAUACUUAUGAAGAAAUAGAAACUGAAAGCAAAGUGUCUGAUAAUACCACUAGCAAAGCCACUGAAUGUCCCCAAGCUAAAGGGUUUUUAAACAGCACAGAGCGUAAAAGGGGUUCAGUGGCUCAGAAGGUUCAGGAGUUUAACAGCUGUCUUAACAGAGGUCAGUCCUCACCACAGAGGAGCUACAGUUCCAGCCACAGCUCCCCGACAAAGCUCCAGAGAACCACUCAAGAGCCUGUGGCCAAAACAGAAAGCACUCAGGAGUCUCCGAUAGUGAGCAGCAGCAGCGCCAGGGAGAAGGCAAGCACCGUGCUUUCUCAGAUCGUGGCUUCUAUCCAGCCCCCACAGUCUCCUCCAGAAAUGCCCCAGUCUGGCCCUAAAGCUUGCAGUGUGGAAGAGCUUUAUGCCAUUCCUCCCGAUGCCAGUGCUGCUAAGAGUACACCUAAGAGUACACCAGUCCGGCCCAAGUCUCUCUUCACAUCCCAGCCCAGUGGUGAGGCUGAAGCACCUCAGACCACAGAAAGUCCUACCACCAAAGUACAGAAAGAUCCACUCACAAAGCCAGUCACCACCCCUCCCUCCAAAUUAGUGACUAACCCCCAAAGUGAGCCGCCACCCCCCUUUCCCCCACCACGCUCGACUUCCUCCCCUUACCAUGCAAGUAACCUUUUGCAGAGGCAUUUCACCAACUGGACCAAGCCAACUAGCCCUACCAGGUCAACGGAAGCUGAAUCAGUUUUGCACUCUGAAGGCAGCAGGCGGGCCGCUGAUGCAAAACCUAAACGCUGGAUAUCAUUUAAAAGUUUCUUCCGCCGUCGGAAAACAGAUGAAGAGGACGACAAAGAGAAAGACCGAGAGAAAGGGAAACUGGUGGGCCUGGACGGCACAGUCAUCCACAUGCUGCCCCCUCCUCCAGUUCAGCGCCAUCACUGGUUCACAGAGGCAAAAGGAGAAUCCAGCGAGAAGCCAGCCAUCGUCUUCAUGUACAGGUGUGACCCUGCCCAAGGCCAGCUCAGUGUGGAUCAGGGCAAAGCCAGGGCAGAGCAGUCAGCAGUCACAGAGAAGGGUAGAGCAGAGGAUGGGUUACUACAGGACUCAGAGAAGAAGAAAAGGAGUCAUUCUUCUCCAUCACAGAUUCCUAAGAAAAUUCUCAGUCACGUGACCCAUGAAGUGACAGAGGAUUUUUCUCCUCGGGAUCCAAGCACUGUUGUGAAGCAAGAUGGUGGGGGCUGUACUUCAGUCACAUCGGCAUUGCCGCUGCCUGAACUGGAAAGGGAAGAGGAAAAGGGAGACAUUUCAGGUCCUAUGGACCCGAAUCCCUGUAGUGCAACGUACAGCAACUUAGGGCAAUCUAGAGCAGCCAUGAUACCUCCCAAGCAUCCACGGCAGCCUAAGGGAGCUUUGGAUGAUGCCAUUGCCUUUGGUGGGAAAACAGACCAAGAAGCACCUAAUGCUUCUCAACCUACACCACCCCCACUGCCAAAGAAAAUGAUCAUAAGAGCCAAUACAGAGCCAAUCUCCAAAGACCUCCAAAAAUCCCUGGAAACUACUCUUUGUGUCAUGGCUAAUCCCACCUAUGAUAUCGACCCCAACUGGGAUGCCAGCAGUGCUGGCUCUUCAAUCAGUUAUGAACUCAAGGGACUGGACAUUGAGUCUUAUGACUCCUUGGAGAGACCUUUGCACAAGGAGAGACCUGUGCCCUCAGCAGCAAACAGCAUCUCCAGCUUAACCACUCUCAGUAUUAAGGAUAGAUUUUCCAAUAGCACAGAGUCCCUGUCCAGCCGGCGUGGUCCCUCUUGUAGACAGGGCCGGAGUAUCCAGAAGCCACAGAGACAAGCACUUUAUCGAGGACUUGAGAAUCGUGAAGAAGUGGUGGGUAAAAUCCGAAGCCUUCAUACAGAUGCCUUGAAGAAACUGGCUAUUAAAUGUGAAGACCUCUUCAUGGCUGGACAGAAAGACCAGCUCCGUUUUGGGGUGGACAGCUGGUCAGACUUCAGGCUAACCAGUGACAAGCCAUGUUGUGAGGCAGGCGAUGCAGUUUACUACACAGCUUCAUAUGCAAAAGAUCCACUUAAUAACUAUGCAGUCAAGAUCUGUAAGAGCAAAGCUAAAGAAUCGCAGCAGUAUUAUCACAGCUUGGCUGUCCGGCAGAGUCUGGCUGUCCAUUUUAACAUCCAGCAGGACUGUGGUCACUUCCUUGCUGAAGUUCCUAAACGUCUGCUUCCCUGGGAGGACCCUGAUGCCCCGGAAGAGGAAGAGGAUGAAAUGGAAGCGACAGAAGAGGUGAAAGGAGGAACUGAUGGAAAAAGCCCAGAGCCCGGCUCUGAAGCAGAGUCAUCCCACAAAGAAAGCCAGGCAGUCGUUAGCAGGAAGCAGAGAAGCCACGUCGUGGUCAUCACCAGAGAGGUUCCCUGUCUCACCGUGGCCGACUUUGUGCGAGACUCUCUAGCGCAGCAUGGGAAAAGCCCUGACGUGUAUGAGAGGCAAGUGUGUCUGCUGCUCUUACAGCUGUGCUCCGGCCUGGAGCACCUCAAACCCUACCACGUCACUCACUGCGAUCUGCGUCUGGAGAACCUGCUGCUUGUCCAUUACCAGCCCGGGGGACCCGCCCAGGGCCUUGGGCCUGCGGAGCCCAGCCCCACCUCUUCUUGUCCCACGAGGCUUAUAGUAAGCAACUUCUCUCAAGCCAAGCAGAAGAGCCAUCUGGUAGACCCUGAGAUCCUCCGGGACCAGUCCCGCCUCGCCCCAGAGAUCAUCACAGCCACCCAGUAUAAAAAGUGUGAUGAGUUCCAGACAGGCAUCCUCAUCUACGAGAUGCUGCACCUGCCCAACCCCUUCGAUGAGAACCCAGAGCUGAAGGAGAAGGAAUACACUCGAGCAGACCUGCCUCGCAUCCCACUCCGCUCCCCCUAUUCCCGGGGCCUGCAGCAGCUGGCCAGCUGCCUCUUGAACCCCAACCCUUCUGAGCGACUCCUCAUUUCAGGCGCCAAAGGCAUCCUCCAGUGUCUGCUCUGGGGCCCCCGGGAAGGCCUCUUCCAGACUUUCACUGCCUCCCCGAGCCCAGUGCAGAGGAAUGCUCUGCUCCAAAACUGGCUAGACAUCAAGCGAACACUGCUCAUGAUCAAGUUUGCUGAGAAGUCCCUGGACAGGGAAGGUGGCGUCAGCCUGGAGGACUGGCUUUGUGCUCAGUAUUUGGCUUUUGCUACUCCAGACUCCCUCAGCUGCGUCGUGAAAAUCCUGCAGCCCCGUUAACGUGUCCCAGUUGCUGCUCUUCAUUGUCGCCUUCUUCAAGUGGCUCACACACUUCCCCUUCCUAGCACUCACACAGAAUUCAAGGAAAGGGGAGAGACGAGCCUUCCAUCCCCAUCCACUCUGAAAGGUUGUCCUCAGCUCUGAAUCCAGUGAGACUCUGAGUCCCUCUUAAUUUCACAGAAAGUCAGCCGCACAAACAUGCAGCUGCCUUCCAUGGGAAUGCCUUCUGCCCUAACUGUCCCCCAAAUGCAGGGAAAGUGAAGACAUGUCCUUGAAGGGACAGCUCCUCUGGUUUGAACUCAGUGAGCUGGGUCCAGUUCCUCCAUAAUUCUGAAUAGCUCCUGUCUUUUUAACACCGUGUAUUUAUUCUCGCUAGCAAUAGACGGAUUUAACCAGUCCUUACCACCAUCCACUAAGCUCUCACAACAGACUUUCUUCCUUUAAAGAAUCAAUAACUGACUCUCUUACCAGGCGGAGCUGCCAUCCCUAGCAUCAGCCCAGUUUUGGUUCCGGGGACUGUAUCCUUUGUUCCAGGAGGAGUAGAAGGACGAGGAGAGAUCCCAUCCUCUGGGUCAUGAACCCAUUUUCAUUUCUAUUAUCGAUAAGUGUGUGCACUGCAUGGAGGGCGGCCCUAACCGUCUCCCCUCUGCUGCCACUGCCUGAUUCUCCUUCACCUCUACUCUCUCCCCACUUGCCAAUGAAGUUUGGGCUUAUCGGCCACUUGUGGCCCAUUACAGAGCUGACCCAAGGUGGUGUCACCAGUGCCUCAGCAGGGUGGAGUGCAGUUCAGAUCUUAUAAAUAGCUGGCAGGACACAAGGAGAUGAUUUUCCUGCAUGUGCAAUUCUCUAGGGGACAUCAGGGGAACAGAGUUUAAAGUACUGUUCUUUGAUUACUGUCAGAGCUGUCAACGUUGGCAGCCAGGGCUGCCGGUGCCCAGAUCACAGUUUUCCCUCGAGCAGUAAUUGGCCAGCUUCCUUCUGUCAGUAGCCCGCGUUAACUAGUCUACCAAAUGCUGUAGACAACAGCCCUGCGCGAAAAGGCUGUCAGUGGAGCUGUGACGUCUCCUUAGAGGGCAUGGCGUGGCUGGCUGUUAGGACGGCCAGAAGGCAGGGGAAGGGGAGAAGGCCGCUGAUGGGACUGCUGACCUCCUCCCCAGAAUGCCGGCCUUUUCUAGAGAGACCGCCUCCCAGUGCCCAGGCACAUUGCUCCUUGUGACCCUCUGAAAUGGCUCUGGAGGACAGCUCCCAGGGAACUUGGAUUGCUGAGGUGGGUGGCUGAGAGCUGUUCACCGCACGUGGGGGCUGUGCUCCUCCUCUAUGGAUAUAUGUGCAAUUUGGAGAAUGGGACAUGUGAGGCUCCCUAUGGAACAUGUGCCUGUCCUCCUGGCCAGCAGUACAGGACUUCCAGGGAAGAGAGCUGGUUGGCCCACAAAGAGUCUUGUCUCUGCCCCUAGGAAUGGCCGCAAGGUGGGCAUGCCGCUGCAGGCCAGCAGUCCACUCUCUCUCUCGGUGUCCUGUGACAUGGCCACACCUUGCCUAGCAGGCUGGUGUUCGGUUCACCUUAGCAUAGCCCAUGUGCACAUAACUCCCUGCCCAAUUAUACACUGAAGUGGCAGUGCACAGACCACUGACCCUGUCAGCCAGCACGUUCCCUUAGCAGCCCCCCUCCGUGGUUUGCAUAUUGAGACACUUUCUCAAUGUCACUCUCGUGGUGCCUUGCCCAUGUAAAUUUGAAUGUUGACUAUUUAAUGAGGUUUCAUAUUUAAUGAAGAAUGUUUCCUGGUCCCUCUAUUUGUUCUCUAGGUAUCCUCCCUCCCCCAACACACACACUUUUUUUCUCUGUUUCUGUUUUGCCUUGGACCCAGUCUUCUUCAUUUUAACUCUAUAGUAUUAUAAUCAUGGACACCCUCCACUACCGUUAUCUCAUAGCACUGGCAAACCGAGCACCUCUUCACAUCAGAUGUGUUUAGUACUGUUUUCAUAUUCAGAUUUGUUAAGGGCAAAAGAGUAAUGCCAACUAGUCAGAGAAGGGACUCAGGCGUCCCUGAGACAGGUGGCUAGAUUAACAGCUCUCUGAGUGAGGGCCAAGGAAUGUAAGGUGGGGAGGGAAGAAGGUGUUACAGGUUAGAGCAGAAUAGGCAAAAUAACCCCAUUUCUAGGCAAGAAGUAUUUACAUCAGGUGGUCCUCCAGAUAUUUUUCCAAAUAUGAUGAAAUUCAGUCAAUCUCAUAUUAUCACAAAUAUUUUACAUUUCCAUUUUAAUUGUAGUGGGAACUUCGAAUACAUUCAUCAACUGGAAAGAAAUCCUGCCCUCAGACACAGACAGACAUACAUACAUAUUUAUAUAUAUAUAUAUAUAUGAGUUUUGGAUUGUGACUAGUAUAGCACUUUGUUUUCUCAAGUAAUGUCAAGUUAUUGUCUUCAAUACUGAUUGGAUUUUUUCUCUUCUAUUGAAGUUUAUACUAUAGAUUCUUCCAUUUAUAUUGAGAAUUUGAACAAUUAAGCCGCUAUUGGAACUUUUCCUUAAGCCACAUGAGCAAGAAUAAUCUCUCGUACACAUUUGGGUACUAGAGAAACAGGACAAUGGCUGGAGUAGCCAAGACCAAGACUGAAUGUACAGCAGAGUGCCUUGUUAGCAUGAUAACCUCGUCUGGGAAGGAAGGGAAUUAGAUGUUCCACAGGAAGGACGGGGGCUGUGAGAGGGCUCUUUUGCUAGCCUGAGGAGAGCCCCUUUGGUGUACUAGUGUGAUGUCCAGAAGCUAAUUCGUCAAGAAUAACAGCAGGAUGGGGAAAAGAGCAGUCGCAACAUGUGGAAUCAACAACAAAAGAAUCGGGAAGGACGUCCACCAACCCCUAGGCUAAGUCUGAAUUGGAAGCCAGGAAUAUGGCAGUGGGUUUCAAGUUUUGCCCUCGGAAGAUAAACCGGGUGAGAUAUAUGGGGGGGCACAAGCACCCACACUCCCUAGCCUACUGAUGUUGAGGGGCUAAAAGUAAAACCUAUUUGUUAGGAUUUCAAGACUCUGAGUAACCUUUCAUUGUCAGUGGGCGACAGUUGUGCUUCCAAACUCAGAAUAAGUUUGUGAACUUAGAAAACUCUAAGCCAAGAGAUCUGAACCUCUAGAAAUAUUAAUGAUAUUUCUGGGAGUUAAACUACCUAAAAUUGUAUUUUAAAGUUUCCAGCAUUGUAAAAUUUCCAUGAAAGACCUUUGGGGCCUACUAAACGGUAGGACGUAGAAGGAUUGCACUCAGCUUCCCAAAUUUGAAUUAAGAAUACUUUGGUGCUGGGAAGCAACCUGACUUGGUUUUGCUGAUAACCUGCAACUAGGAUUUUUCCCUAGAUGUUACCAGCAGUGAUCUGAAAAAAUACAGGCUAGUUCCAGAAAUUGGGAUGGACUUAUUAUUCUGCACUAUAUUCCAAAUGAUUCUAGAUGUAUAAAUGAAGUAUGAGCAUACUUGGGGGUGGUGGGGAGGAACUUGACUCCCUGGGUUAACUCUGACAUGUUUUUUAUUCCCCUCACUAGUUGAUAAGGAUUAAAGAUUCUGGUUCAGCCUAAUGAGUAAACAGGAUGGCUGCCCACGAAACCGGGCUAUUAAGUUUUACCUCAUUGAAGCUCAUAUUCUCAAAGGCCCUAAGUGCUGUGCUGAGACGAAUCCAAGUGCCGCUCUUGCUGAAGUGCGCACUGCAGCCCAGCUGUCCACGCUGAUGGCAGCGCUGAAAGUGGGGAUUCCGUUGGACCAAAAAUGAUGCCAUAAGGGAAGCCACAAGAGGUGCAGUGCAAGAUCCUAGGUAGAGAUUAUGCCAAAGAAAUCAAGCCUUUUUGUCCUGAUGCUUCUUAGAUGAUGAGGUUGAGUUAUGACAGAUGCCAUGGGAGGAGAAUUCACAUACAUUCCACAUCCAGGUAUUCAGCUGAUAAAAUAAUGCAUCCUCAAAUAAGCACCUAUUUUUUUAAAACAAGUCCAUUUUGUGUAUUAGGAAAAAAAAGAUGAUGAUGAAGAAGAAGAAGAAAACCUUGCGCAGAUUAUAAAGUUCCCCAGUAUUUAAGGAGAAGGAACUGUUUCCUCUCUCGUUGACAUGGUUGUGACUACUGCCCAAACUUCAGUUUGGGAACAUCAUAUCCACGUAAUACUGAGAGCUGAGGAAUUUUUUAAGAGAGAUAUGGUAGUUUCCAUAGGUUUGUUUAAAGAACUCUUGGGAAAUUUCUUAACAAAUUAUAAUAUUUUUUUAUAAACCUUCCUACUGAGGUGUUUAUCACUCACCAUCACCACCAUUUAAUAUUUAUAAGUGCCCAUAAUGUACAAGGUGCUAUACAGCUGUUAAACACCCCCCUCUCUGCAGCUGUUUGAAAUUAGAGUAGGUUUUUGCGUCAGCCACUGCUAGAAGCUUUCCCCACCUGGGCUGGCGGCAGGGGCUUGCAUCCGGACAUCCCAUCGCAUGUUUCCCACUCCAGAGAGCCUCCGCGUUUAUUCCAGCUUCUCACCUUUACCCACCCAUUUGCUUCCAUGUUUGUUGUUGUUUUUUUUUUAAUCCAGAAAGUUUCAGGGAAUCCAAAGAGGUCGGACAUUUUCUAACCUAGCAGAAGUACAGAGUCAUAUAUUUUGCUACAAAUAUUAUAUUAUGGAAAAUCCACUUUGCCCGUGUAGUGUGUGGAAAGUAUGUGUGUGUCCGCACUCAUGAUAACUUGAAUGUUGAACCAGUCCUAUGGCUUCAGGGUAGCGUUUUUGAAAGAUAAACCACACUGCUUCAGGAAACUUGCUCCAAAUACUACUUGGUUAUCCCUUCCCUUAGCAGAUGUGUGAACACACUGGGAUGGGAUUUUUCUGUUGAUGAUAUGCCGGGCAUUUUGGCGUGAGAUGAGGGCAGAAGCCAGAUGUUGUCCUUCUCAGUGAUUUGAAUCAUGGCAGCCCUCAUUCCACUCUCUCUUUCAUUCCCCAUGGCUCUGCCCAUGCUCUCUUUUUGAAAAUCUUUUUUCUUUUGCUCUUUCCUGGAGCUUCACCUCUACUUAACAUGUUUUGGAGUUGUAUAAACCUACCAAUGAAAGGUCCCCUCUGUCACCAGGUGGCGCCGCCCUUUGGUUUGCUGUGGUACUUUGCUGUGUUCUCUGUGGCAUCAUGUUACUGUGUAAAUAAAUUCAUUUUCAUAUACACUAAAAACCAGACGAGCGCUUGUCCUUUCAGCAGCUCUCCCACACUGACGUGCUGCGGGGGAGGGGGAGUUUGGUUGCAGACAUGGUUACAUCUUAAAUUCCAGGAUGCAUGCCCUCUUGAAUGCUCCUCCCUGCUGACCUGGACUAUAUUUCGAUUCGUUCCCUCCCUAAACUGAGAAAACCAGGCAUGGAAGGGAACGAGAAGGCCUUCAGCUUUCCCCCAGAGCUCAGAGGGCUGCGGGUUUGCUGUGUGAGAUCGCCCCCUGGUGACCAGUCACCAUAUAGACUUCCUGGGUUUGUACUAUCACAGGUUUGAGAGGUUUGGUUAGCAGGCUGUGGCUGAGCCUCUGAGCGGCCAUCUGAGAGCUCUGCAGACAAUACGAGCAAGGCAGGGCCUUGUACAGUAUCAUAUGCUACAGAAUCCACAUCGUUUGCCUGUUCCUAAAGGUACACGGUCAC